Molecule: transfer RNA, 82 nt
Organism: Cyphellophora europaea CBS 101466
Lineage: Eukaryota; Fungi; Ascomycota; Eurotiomycetes; Chaetothyriales; Cyphellophoraceae
Rfam family: tRNA
About the family: Transfer RNA (tRNA) molecules are approximately 80 nucleotides in length. Their secondary structure includes four short double-helical elements and three loops (D, anti-codon, and T loops). Further hydrogen bonds mediate the characteristic L-shaped molecular structure. tRNAs have two regions of fundamental functional importance: the anti-codon, which is responsible for specific mRNA codon recognition, and the 3' end, to which the tRNAs corresponding amino acid is attached (by aminoacyl-tRNA synthetases). tRNAs cope with the degeneracy of the genetic code in two manners: having more than one tRNA (with a specific anti-codon) for a particular amino acid; and 'wobble' base-pairing, i.e. permitting non-standard base-pairing at the 3rd anti-codon position.
Source: Rfam
CGAGGGAUGGCCGAGCGGUUGGGGCGCUAUCUUCAGGUGGCAGUGGUGUUUCACCUCGUGGGUUCGAGUCCCACUCCCUCCA